RNAcentral lists this transfer RNA (72 nucleotides) under Jenkinsia lamprotaenia (dwarf round herring). Its description in RNAcentral is "tRNA-Gly". It matches the Rfam family "tRNA". From Rfam's summary of the family: Transfer RNA (tRNA) molecules are approximately 80 nucleotides in length. Their secondary structure includes four short double-helical elements and three loops (D, anti-codon, and T loops). Further hydrogen bonds mediate the characteristic L-shaped molecular structure. tRNAs have two regions of fundamental functional importance: the anti-codon, which is responsible for specific mRNA codon recognition, and the 3' end, to which the tRNAs corresponding amino acid is attached (by aminoacyl-tRNA synthetases). tRNAs cope with the degeneracy of the genetic code in two manners: having more than one tRNA (with a specific anti-codon) for a particular amino acid; and 'wobble' base-pairing, i.e. permitting non-standard base-pairing at the 3rd anti-codon position. Lineage: Eukaryota; Metazoa; Chordata; Actinopteri; Clupeiformes; Clupeidae. The record is from RNAcentral.
AUCUUCCUAGUAUAACGCUUAGUACAGGUGGCUUCCAACCAUCUAAUCUUGGUUAAAAUCCAAGGGGAGAUA